UAAGAAUUAAGCCUUUAGUGGAUUGUCAC
This 29-nucleotide non-coding RNA is filed under the name Mus musculus (house mouse). Lineage: Eukaryota; Metazoa; Chordata; Mammalia; Rodentia; Muridae. The record is from RNAcentral.